CAUGAAGCUGGAUUCGCUAGUAAUCGCGCAUCAGCCACGGCGCGGUGAAUACGUUCCCGGGCCCUUGUACACACCGCCCGUCAAGCCAUGGAAGCCGGGAGUGCCUGAAGUACGCGACCGCAAGGAGCGUCCUAAGGUAAAACCGGUGACUGGGGCUAAGUCGUAACAAGGUAAC
RNAcentral lists this ribosomal RNA (175 nucleotides) under uncultured bacterium. Its description in RNAcentral is "partial 16S ribosomal RNA". It matches the Rfam family "Bacterial small subunit ribosomal RNA", at positions 1319 to 1500 of the family's 1533-position model. The record is from RNAcentral.